GCCCUUAUAGUUUAACGGAUAGAAUGCUUCGUUGCGGUCGAAGUGAUCGAGGUUCAAUUCCUCGUGGGGGCG
Candidatus Pacearchaeota archaeon CG1_02_32_21 is the source of this 72-nucleotide non-coding RNA. NCBI's taxonomy places the organism in Archaea, Nanobdellati. The record is from Rfam.